Molecule: ribosomal RNA, 253 nt
Filed under: uncultured bacterium
Lineage: Bacteria
Description: partial 16S ribosomal RNA
Rfam family: Bacterial small subunit ribosomal RNA
Source: RNAcentral
UACAGAGGGGGCAAGCGUUGUUCGGAAUUACUGGGCGUCAAGGGCGCGUAGGCGGCCGCCUAAGUCAGACGUGAAAUCCCUCGGCUCAACCGGGGAACUGCGUCUGAUACUGGGUGGCUUGAAUCCGGGAGAGGGAUGCGGAAUUCCAGGUGUAGCGGUGAAAUGCGUAGAUAUCUGGAGGAACACCGGUGGCGAAGGCGGCAUCCUGGACCGGCAUUGACGCUGAGGCGCGAAAGCCAGGGGAGCAAACGGG